Molecule: ribosomal RNA, 439 nt
Filed under: uncultured bacterium
Lineage: Bacteria
Description: bacterial SSU rRNA
Rfam family: Bacterial small subunit ribosomal RNA
Source: RNAcentral
GUUAGGAAUCUUCCCCAAUGGGCGAAAGCCUGAGGGAGCGACGCCGCGUGAGGGAUGAAGGUUUUCGGAUCGUAAACCUCUGAAUCAGGGACGAAAGACCGCGUUAGCGGGGAUGACGGUACCUGAGUAAUAGCACCGGCUAACUCCGUGCCAGCAGCCGCGGUAAUACGGAGGGUGCAAGCGUUACCCGGAAUCACUGGGCGUAAAGGGCGUGUAGGCGGCUUGCUCAGUCUGACUUUAAAGACCGGGGCUCAACCUCGGAAGUGGGUUGGAUACUGGCAGGCUGGACCUCUGGAGAGAGAACCGGAAUUCCUGGUGUAGCGGUGGAAUGCGUAGAUACCAGGAGGAACACCGAUGGCGAAGGCAGGUUCUUGGACAGAAGGUGACGCUGAGGCGCGAAAGUGUGGGGAGCGAACCGGAUUAGAAACCCCUGUAGUCC